UAUAAUGGGUCAGCGACUUAUAUUCUGUAGCAAGGUUAACCGUAUAGGGGAGCCGCAGGGAAACCGAGUCUUAACUGGGCGUUAAGUUGCAGGGUAUAGACCCGAAACCCGGUGAUCUAGCCAUGGGCAGGUUGAAGGUUGGGUAACACUAACUGGAGGACCGAACCGACUAAUGUUGAAAAAUUAGCGGAUGACUUGUGGCUGGGGGUGAAAGGCCAAUCAAACCGGGAGAUAGCUGGUUCUCCCCGAAAGCUAUUUAGGUAGCGCCUCGUGAACUCAUCUUCGGGGGUAGAGCACUGUUUCGGCUAGGGGGUCAUCCCGACUUACCAACCCGAUGCAAACUACGAAUACCGAAGAAUGUUAUCACGGGAGACACACGGCGGGUGCUAACGUCCGUCGUGAAGAGGGAAACAACCCAGACCGCCAGCUAAGGUCCCAAAGUCAUGGUUAAGUGGGAAACGAUGUGGGAAGGCACAGACAGCCAGGAUGUUGGCUUAGAAGCAGCCAUCAUUUAAAGAAAGCGUAAUAGCUCACUGGUCGAGUCGGCCUGCGCGGAAGAUGUAACGGGGCUAAACCAUG
RNAcentral lists this ribosomal RNA (579 nucleotides) under Klebsiella variicola. RNAcentral's name for it is "partial 23S ribosomal RNA". It matches the Rfam family "Bacterial large subunit ribosomal RNA", at positions 611 to 1191 of the family's 2925-position model. Lineage: Bacteria; Pseudomonadati; Pseudomonadota; Gammaproteobacteria; Enterobacterales; Enterobacteriaceae. The record is from RNAcentral. RNAcentral also lists the same sequence under 4 other names.